RNAcentral lists this ribosomal RNA (428 nucleotides) under uncultured bacterium. RNAcentral's name for it is "bacterial SSU rRNA". It matches the Rfam family "Bacterial small subunit ribosomal RNA", at positions 355 to 775 of the family's 1533-position model. The record is from RNAcentral.
UGGGGAAUUUUGGACAAUGGGCGCAAGCCUGAUCCAGCCAUGCCGCGUGAGUGAAGAAGGCCUUCGGGUUGUAAAGCUCUUUCGGCGGGGACGAAACGGUCCGUGACAACACCACGGACUAAUGACGGUACUCGCAGAAGAAGCACCGGCUAACUACGUGCCAGCAGCCGCGGUAAUACGUAGGGUGCAGGCGUUAAUCGGAAUUACUGGGCGUAAAGCGUGCGCAGGCGGCUCCUUAAGUCAGAUGUGAAAGCCCCGGGCUUAACCUGGGAACUGCGUUUGAAACUGGGGAGCUGGAGUGUGGAAGAGGGGGGUGGAAUUCCAGGUGUAGCAGUGAAAUGCGUAGAGAUCUGGAGGAACACCGAUGGCGAAGGCAGCCCCCUGGGCUAACACUGACGCUCAUGCACGAAAGCGUGGGGAGCAAACAG